RNAcentral lists this ribosomal RNA (388 nucleotides) under Escherichia coli. RNAcentral's name for it is "partial 23S ribosomal RNA". It matches the Rfam family "Bacterial large subunit ribosomal RNA", at positions 2555 to 2925 of the family's 2925-position model. The record is from RNAcentral. Lineage: Bacteria; Pseudomonadati; Pseudomonadota; Gammaproteobacteria; Enterobacterales; Enterobacteriaceae.
GAAGUAGGUCCCAAGGGUAUGGCUGUUCGCCAUUUAAAGUGGUACGCGAGCUGGGUUUAGAACGUCGUGAGACAGUUCGGUCCCUAUCUGCCGUGGGCGCUGGAGAAUUGAGGGGGGCUGCUCCUAGUACGAGAGGACCGGAGUGGACGCAUCACUGGUGUUCGGGUUGUCAUGCCAAUGGCACUGCCCGGUAGCUAAAUGCGGAAGAGAUAAGUGCUGAAAGCAUCUAAGCACGAAACUUGCCCCGAGAUGAGUUCUCCCUGACUCCUUGAGAGUCCUGAAGGAACGUUGAAGACGACGACGUUGAUAGGCCGGGUGUGUAAGCGCAGCGAUGCGUUGAGCUAACCGGUACUAAUGAACCGUGAGGCUUAACCUUACAACGCCGAAG